Molecule: long non-coding RNA, 1422 nt
Organism: Oncorhynchus tshawytscha (Chinook salmon)
Lineage: Eukaryota; Metazoa; Chordata; Actinopteri; Salmoniformes; Salmonidae
Exons: 3
Source: RefSeq, a predicted model, not a curated record
UCUCUAACGGUCGCCCCAGCGUGAGUUUUUUUAUGCACGUGAUGUUAGAAUGUUCUCUCCAUUCCAGAAUGUGAUUGAUACGUAACAGUACAUUUUAUCCGCGCUGCCCUCAAACUAAAGCACGCACCCUGUUUAUAUUUAUAGGUUGUUUUAACUUCAAUUUCAAAUGAUUUUCAAACAAGUUUUUAUUUUCUAAAAACAGUUUGAAUUUAGGUGUGUUCCGCCUCCUCAUUCAUUCACAUAAAAAUAGUCAUUUUUACUUUUGCGGAUAAUUACAUUUUUGGGACAUUUCUGACACGGACAAAAUUCCCCAAGCACUUCCCAAUUGUUUGUGCAGUUCACGUCUGCAGACAUUUGCUUAUCUCCCGUCAGAACAGGAUCUGCACACGUGUUCACAUUUUCUAUUCCACAUUUCUAUUGUAGCGUACUGUAUGUAUGGAGCAUAAUAUAUUUGUGUAUAUUCUUUAUCACCGCGGACACGUGAGGUAACGUUACUCAUUUUAUAACCUUUAUGGUGUUAUAGUCAAUCGUGCUUAUGUAGCCACAUUCUUCUAUUAGCUCUGUAAAACAAUGCUAAAUGCGUCAGAGAAGUAUUAUCUUGUGUUGCAUUUUGAAGCUACCAUGGCCUUAUGACUCUCAAGUGGUGCAGCGGUCAAAGGCACAGCACAUCAGUACUAGAGGUGUCACUACAGACUCCCUGGUUCAAAUCCAGGCUGCGUUUCCAUCAAAAAACCAGAAACAUUAUUUGCCAAUAUCAUAACUGGAGCUGGACAUCUUUGGAGCUGAAUAAUGAGGACAGCUUUUGUAUGCUAACGUACACUCCUUAACAGUUGUACUGGAUGAAAACACAGCAAGAAAACACAUAUGCCAAUAUGUAAUAUUCAUCUAUUUUAUUGCAGGACUGGUAGUUGGUUCAACAACUUGUUUUACUAGAGGACAAAAAACUGAAUAUGUAAAACCCAUAUUCAUUAUCCAUGCAGUGACUGAACAACAACUGCAUUUCCACCCCCAUCUCUAAGGCAUAGUAUCAUGGCUGGUCACCUAUCAAGUCACAUGUCAGGUCAGUCAGUCACCUAUUGCUGCAGAUGUGCUCAAUAAUGCUUGAGCAUGUGAUACUCCUCAAAGCAUGGUGAAAUACAUAGAGGUGUAUCACAAGCUAGACACAUGUAUUUUGUCAUCUUCCUCUGCUUACUUCUCCUGGCGCCAGACAGGCAGACUUUGCAAUGCCUCCGUGUGCGACUACCUUGAGAAGCAGUUUGAGGGACUUUGCAGGGAAAAUGUCGUGCAGUGAGGCGUAGGGGAUUGUCUGCAGCAGGACGGCCCCCAGUGGAUGGGCGCCGAGGGGUGUGGUGCUCCUCCAGCAGCUCUCUCAUGAGGUUCUCUCUGUAUUUUUGGUGGUCCACCUUCCCUGUGGCCGACAUG